This 489-nucleotide ribosomal RNA is filed under the name uncultured bacterium. Its description in RNAcentral is "partial 16S ribosomal RNA". It matches the Rfam family "Bacterial small subunit ribosomal RNA", at positions 28 to 507 of the family's 1533-position model. The record is from RNAcentral.
GACGAACGCUGGCGGCGUGCUUAACACAUGCAAGUCGAACGGUGAAGGGACCAGCUUGCUGGUUCUGGAUGAGUGGCGAACGGGUGAGUAACACGUGAGUAACCUGCCCCCUUCUUCUGGAUAACCGCAUGAAAGUGUGGCUAAUACGGGAUAUUCUGGGUCUGUCGCAUGGCGGGCCCGGGAAAGAUAUUGCUUCGGUGGGGGAUGGGCUCGCGGCCUAUCAGCUUGUUGGUGGGGUGAUGGCCUACCAAGGCGGUGACGGGUAGCCGGCCUGAGAGGGCGGACGGUCACACUGGGACUGAGACACGGCCCAGACUCCUACGGGAGGCAGCAGUGGGGAAUAUUGCACAAUGGGCGCAAGCCUGAUGCAGCGACGCCGCGUGAGGGAUGGAGGCCUUCGGGUUGUAAACCUCUUUCGCCAGUGAAGCAGGCCUGCUCCUUGUGGGUGGGUUGACGGUAGCUGGAUAAGAAGCGCCGGCUAACUACGUG